This 402-nucleotide ribosomal RNA is filed under the name Verrucomicrobiota bacterium. RNAcentral's name for it is "Verrucomicrobia bacterium partial 16S ribosomal RNA". It matches the Rfam family "Bacterial small subunit ribosomal RNA", at positions 355 to 776 of the family's 1533-position model. The record is from RNAcentral. Lineage: Bacteria; Pseudomonadati; Verrucomicrobiota.
UGGGGAAUUUUGUACAAUGGGGGAAACCCUGAUGCAGCGACGCCGCGUGAUUUAGAAGGCCUUCGGGUUGUCAAAAUCUUUUGUAUGGGAAGAAAAUGACAGUACCAUACGAAUACGGACCGGCUAAUUACGUGCCAGCAGCCGCGGUAAUACGUAAGGUCCGAGCGUUGUCCGGAAUCAUUGGGCGUAAAGGGUACGUAGGCGGAUAAGCAAGUUAGAAGUGAAAUCCUAUAUCUCAACUAUAGUAAGCUUUUAAAACUGCUCAUCUUGAGGUAUGGAAGGGAAAGUUGAAUUCCUAGUGUAGCGGUAAAAUGCGCAGAUAUUAGGAGGAAUACCGGUGGCGAAGGCGACUUUCUGGCCAUAUACUGACGCUGAGGUACGAAAGCGUGGGUAGCAAACAGG